This 317-nucleotide ribosomal RNA is filed under the name Theristus acer. Its description in RNAcentral is "eukaryotic LSU rRNA". It matches the Rfam family "Eukaryotic large subunit ribosomal RNA", at positions 653 to 959 of the family's 3401-position model. The record is from RNAcentral. Lineage: Eukaryota; Metazoa; Nematoda; Chromadorea; Monhysterida; Xyalidae.
CUUGAAACACGGACCAAGAAGUCUAACAUAUGCGCGACUCGAAGGGUGCUUAAACCUGGAGGCGUAGUGAAAGCAAAGCUUAACGACACAUGAUGGUUCCGAAAGGGACUCGCAAUGUGGCCCCAUUCCAAUAGCUUGUCUAUGGAGUGGAGGUAGAGCGUAUACGUUAGGACCCGAAAGAUGGUGAACUAUGCCUGAGCAGGGCGAAGCCAGAGGAAACUCUGGUGGAGGCUCGAAACGGUUCUGACGUGCAAAUCGAUCGUCAGACUUGGGUAUAGGGGCGAAAGACUAAUCGAACCAUCUAGUAGCUGGUUCUC